RNAcentral lists this ribosomal RNA (917 nucleotides) under Triticum aestivum (bread wheat). Its description in RNAcentral is "partial small subunit ribosomal RNA". The record is from RNAcentral. Lineage: Eukaryota; Viridiplantae; Streptophyta; Magnoliopsida; Poales; Poaceae.
GUUUUCAUAAUUUAUCCUUACAUCAAAACCAAUAUGACCUCCAUAACAUGUCCAAAAGUUCCAAGCCUCUUUUGUGGAAUUGAAUUUCAUACCAAUCUGAGGCAUCCAACUAGGAACCACAUUUUUCCUAUAAAAAUUACACAUAAAUUAUUUGUUUGUAUGUUUACACUACAAUCAUAAGGUGAUAUGACCUGAGAAUUUAACAAAACUGUCGGUACCUGUUAGCAUCCUCAUUAGAGCUAGUCAUAUUCUCCAUUAGACUUUCUCUUCUUUUUUGUUGCUAGGAGAAGGACAACAAAAGGGAGAUCAUCUGCAUUAAUCUCCUGUAAUGUUUUGGAAAUCCCAGAAGAAGGAAGGCAAAAGGGAGAUAAUAUUCAUCGCCUACGGAUCAGCUUGCCUUGGUUUCGCUCUGAACAUGGAGGAUGAUCAGAAGAAAGAUAGGGCAAAAGGGAGUUGAUCUGCGCCAGGGUUCGGCCCCUUAUCUUGCCUUGGUUGUGCUCUGAACACGAAGGACGAUCAGAAGAAAGAUAGGGCAAAAGGGAGUUGAUCUGCGCCAGGGUUCGGCUCCUUAGCUUGCCUUGGUUGCGCUCUGAACAUGGAGGACGAUCAGAAGAAAGAUAGGGCAAAAGGAGGAACGAGGAAGAUGAGCGGGACAAACGCAAAGAGGUUGUUGUUUAGCGCCAUGGCGAUUAUCAGGGUGUGUUUUGUUUGGCGCCAAUGUGAGUAUCUUCGUGGUUCUGUUUGGCGGCAAUCCUGCAGCCGUAGGAUAUUUUGUACCACAUAAUUAGCUGUUUGUUUCCAUUUAUUAACAGAAUCAAGUGGGGGUAGUGAGAGUCGUCAGAUUUAAAUGGACGGCUAAUGUGAGUUGGUACAGUACCCGUGCAGUAAUAACGUGACUGCAGAGGAGCCGAACCCGU